AAUAGAUACCCGGGUAGUCCACGCCGUAAACGAUGAGUGCUAAGUGUUAGAGGGUUUCCGCCCUUUAGUGCUGCAGCUAACGCAUUAAGCACUCCGCCUGGGGAGUACGGUCGCAAGACUGAAACUCAAAGGAAUUGACGGGGGCCCGCACAAGCGGUGGAGCAUGUGGUUUAAUUCGAAGCAACGCGAAGAACCUUACCAGGUCUUGACAUCCUCUGACAACUCUAGAGAUAGAGCGUUCCCCUUCGGGGGACAGAGUGACAGGUGGUGCAUGGUUGUCGUCAGCUCGUGUCGUGAGAUGUUGGGUUAAGUCCCGCAACGAGCGCAACCCUUGAUCUUAGUUGCCAGCAUUUAGUUGGGCACUCUAAGGUGACUGCCGGUGACAAACCGGAGGAAGGUGGGGAUGACGUCAAAUCAUCAUGCCCCUUAUGACCUGGGCUACACACGUGCUACAAUGGAUGGUACAAAGGGCUGCAAGCCGCGAGGUCAAGCCAAUCCCAUAAAACCAUUCUCAGUUCGGA
This 521-nucleotide ribosomal RNA is filed under the name uncultured bacterium. RNAcentral's name for it is "bacterial SSU rRNA". It matches the Rfam family "Bacterial small subunit ribosomal RNA", at positions 777 to 1297 of the family's 1533-position model. The record is from RNAcentral.